Molecule: ribosomal RNA, 1258 nt
Filed under: Bacillus sp. B-18
Lineage: Bacteria; Bacillati; Bacillota; Bacilli; Caryophanales; Bacillaceae
Description: bacterial SSU rRNA
Rfam family: Bacterial small subunit ribosomal RNA
Source: RNAcentral
GGCCGUGGCGGGGUGCUAUACAUGCAAGUCGAGCGAAGAGAUGGGAGCUUGCUCCCUGAUCUUAGCGGCGGACGGGUGAGUAACACGUGGGCAACCUGCCCUGCAGACUGGGAUAACUCCGGGAAACCGGAGCUAAUACCGGGUAAUACAUCGCACCGCAUGGUGCAAUGUUGAAAGUUGGCUUUCUGAGCUAACACUGCAGGAUGGGCCCGCGGCGCAUUAGCUAGUUGGUAAGGUAAUGGCUUACCAAGGCGACGAUGCGUAGCCGACCUGAGAGGGUGAUCGGCCACACUGGGACUGAGACACGGCCCAGACUCCUACGGGAGGCAGCAGUAGGGAAUCUUCCGCAAUGGACGAAAGUCUGACGGAGCAACGCCGCGUGAGUGACGAAGGCCUUCGGGUCGUAAAGCUCUGUUGUUAGGGAAGAACAAGUACCGUUCGAAUAGGGCGGUACCUUGACGGUACCUAACCAGAAAGCCACGGCUAACUACGUGCCAGCAGCCGCGGUAAUACGUAGGUGGCAAGCGUUGUCCGGAAUUAUUGGGCGUAAAGCGCGCGCAGGCGGUCUUUUAAGUCUGAUGUGAAAGCCCACGGCUCAACCGUGGAGGGUCAUUGGAAACUGGAGGACUUGAGUGCAGAAGAGGAGAGUGGAAUUCCACGUGUAGCGGUGAAAUGCGUAGAUAUGUGGAGGAACACCAGUGGCGAAGGCGGCUCUCUGGUCUGUAACUGACGCUGAGGCGCGAAAGCGUGGGGAGCAAACAGGAUUAGAUACCCUGGUAGUCCACGCCGUAAACGAUGAGUGCUAGGUGUUGGGGGGUUCCACCCUCAGUGCUGAAGUUAACACAUUAAGCACUCCGCCUGGGGAGUACGACCGCAAGGUUGAAACUCAAGGAAUUGACGGGGGCCCGCACAAGCAGUGGAGCAUGUGGUUUAAUUCGAAGCAACGCGAAGAACCUUACCAGGUCUUGACAUCCUCUGACAUCCUGGAGACAGGACGUUCCCCUUCGGGGGACAGAGUGACAGGUGGUGCAUGGUUGUCGUCAGCUCGUGUCGUGAGAUGUUGGGUAAGUCCCGCACGAGCGCACCCUUGAUCUUAGUGCAGCAUUAGUUGGCACUCUUAGUGACUGCGGUGACAUCGAGGAGGUGGGAUGACGUCAAUCAUCACUGCCCUUAUACUGGCUACACCCGUGCUCAUUGGGACGUCAGUAGCCACCGCAGGGUGAGCAUCAAUAGCCGUUCUUCAUUCCGAAUUGCAAGC